Molecule: ribosomal RNA, 852 nt
Filed under: uncultured bacterium
Lineage: Bacteria
Description: bacterial SSU rRNA
Rfam family: Bacterial small subunit ribosomal RNA
Source: RNAcentral
GAUUAACGCUGGCGGCGUGCCUAACACAUGCAAGUCGUACGACCCGAUAGUAAUAUUGGGGAGUGGCGAACGGGUGAGUAACGCGUGGGCAACCUACCCUUGAACGGGGAACAACCUCGGGAAAUCGGGGCUAAUACCGCAUAAUGUUCCGUUUCAUAAGGAACGGGACUAAAGGUCUUGUAAGAGACUGUUUGAGGAUGGGCCCGCGACCUAUUAGCUUGUUGGUAGGGUAACGGCCUACCAAGGCGACGAUGGGUAGCCGGCCUGAGAGGGUGAACGGCCACACUGGGAUUGAGAUACGGCCCAGACUCCUACGGGAGGCAGCAGUGGGGAAUUUUGGACAAUGGGGGAAACCCUGAUCCAGCGACGCCGCGUGAGGGAUGAAGGCCUUCGGGUUGUAAACCUCUGUCAGAGAGGACGAAUUAGACGGUACUCUCAGAGGAAGCCACGGCUAACUCCGUGCCAGCAGCCGCGGUAAUACGGAGGUGGCGAGCGUUAUCCGGAUUCAUUGGGCGUAAAGGGCGCGUAGGUGUCUCCAUAAGUCGGAUGUGAAAUCCUUCUGCUCAACAGAAGAAUGGCAUUCGAAACUGUGGAGAUUGAGUACAGAAGAGGAGAGUGGAAUUCCUGGUGUAGCGGUGAAAUGCGUAGAUAUCAGGAGGAACACCGGUGGCGAAGGCGACUCUCUGGUCUGAUACUGACACUGAGGCGCGAAAGCUAGGGGAGCAAACAGGAUUAGAUACCCUGGUAGUCCUAGCCAUAAACGAUGCUCACUAGGUGUGGGAGGUAUCGAUUCCUUCUGUGCCGAAGCUAACGCAUUAAGUGAGCCGCCUGGGGAGUACGACCGCAAGGUUG